Molecule: microRNA, 23 nt
Filed under: Tribolium castaneum (red flour beetle)
Lineage: Eukaryota; Metazoa; Arthropoda; Insecta; Coleoptera; Tenebrionidae
Description: tca-miR-11628-3p
Source: miRBase by way of RNAcentral
UGAGUAGAGUUCUUGCAGUCAGU